RNAcentral lists this ribosomal RNA (520 nucleotides) under uncultured bacterium. RNAcentral describes it as "bacterial SSU rRNA". It matches the Rfam family "Bacterial small subunit ribosomal RNA", at positions 19 to 518 of the family's 1533-position model. The record is from RNAcentral.
CUGGCUCAGAACGAACGCUGGCGGCGUGCUUAACACAUGCAAGUCGAACGCGAAAGGGACUUCGGUCCUGAGUAAAGUGGCGCACGGGUGAGUAACGCGUAGAUAACCUGUCUUCAUGUCUGGAAUAAUACGCCGAAAGGGGUACUAAUACCGGAUAUUCUUGCUUUUCAUAAGUUAUGCAAGCAAAGGUGGCCUCUGCAUAUGCUACUGCAUGAAGAGGGGUCUGCGUACCAUUAGCUAGUAGGUGGGGUAAUGGCCUACCUAGGCGACGAUGGUUAGCGGGUCUGAGAGGAUGAUCCGCCACACUGGCACUGGAACACGGGCCAGACUCCUACGGGAGGCAGCAGUGAGGAAUAUUGCGCAAUGGGGGAAACCCUGACGCAGCGACGCCGCGUGAAGUGAGGAAGGCCUUCGGGUCGUAAAGCUCUGUCAAGAGGAAAGAAGUGUACAAUGGCUAAUACCUGUUGUAUUUGACGGUACCUCUAAAGGAAGCACCGGCUAACUCCGUGCCAGCCGCGGC